This 478-nucleotide ribosomal RNA is filed under the name uncultured bacterium. RNAcentral describes it as "partial 16S ribosomal RNA". It matches the Rfam family "Bacterial small subunit ribosomal RNA", at positions 28 to 523 of the family's 1533-position model. The record is from RNAcentral.
GACGAACGCUGGCGGCGUGCUUAACACAUGCAAGUCGAACGGUAAGGCCCUUCGGGGUACACGAGUGGCGAACGGGUGAGUAACACGUGGGUGAUCUGCCCUGCACUUCGGGAUAAGCCUGGGAAACUGGGUCUAAUACCGGAUAGGACCACUGCCUGCAUGGGUGGUGGGGGAAAGCUUUUGCGGUGUGGGAUGGGCCCGCGGCCUAUCCGCUUGUUGGUGGGGUGAUGGCCUACCAAGGCGACGACGGGUAGCCGGCCUGAGAGGGUGACCGGCCACACUGGGACUGAGAUACGGCCCAGACUCCUACGGGAGGCAGCAGUGGGGAAUAUUGCACAAUGGGCGCAAGCCUGAUGCAGCGACGCCGCGUGAGGGAUGACGGCCUUCGGGUUGUAAACCUCUUUCAGCACCGACGAAGCGCAAGUGACGGUAGGUACAGAAGAAGGACCGGCCAACUACGUGCCAGCCGCCGCCGUAA